Molecule: microRNA precursor, 96 nt
Filed under: Eucalyptus grandis
Lineage: Eukaryota; Viridiplantae; Streptophyta; Magnoliopsida; Myrtales; Myrtaceae
Description: mir-166 microRNA precursor family
Rfam family: mir-166 microRNA precursor family
About the family: This family represents the plant microRNA (miRNA) precursor mir-166. Animal miRNAs are transcribed as ~70nt precursors and subsequently processed by the Dicer enzyme to give a ~22nt product.
Source: Rfam by way of RNAcentral
GUUGAGGGGGAUGCUGUCUGGUUCGAGACCGCUCAAUUUUUCAAGGGGGAGUGACUUCAAUGGAACGAUCUCGGACCAGGCUUCAUUCCCCUCAAC